UGUUCUCGAGCUAGCCCUGGCUUGGGACCUGCCAGGUGUCACACAAACCAAUAGAAAGUGGCUGUAUGAACGUCUGCUAUUCCACGCUGUCAUAACACGAACAAGCCGUCAAGUCAAGCAGCUGAGGAAAGGGCUUAAGGAGACCAUGGUAUGGUCGCUUCUGACAGAAAGAUCAGACAUCAUUCCUCUUUUCUUACCAAGGGAAUCAGAGACUGCUCCCUGUUGUGAGUCUAUUCUAGAAAGGAUAGUGUGGCCUGCCACAGAAGAUGAAGAUGAGGAGGAAGAGGAAUGCUCUCGAGGAUAAA
Long non-coding RNA from Oreochromis aureus, 305 nucleotides. RefSeq lists it as uncharacterized. NCBI's taxonomy places the organism in Eukaryota, Metazoa, Chordata, Actinopteri, Cichliformes, Cichlidae. The transcript has 3 exons. The record is from RefSeq and is a predicted model, not a curated record.